RNAcentral lists this ribosomal RNA (1512 nucleotides) under Lactiplantibacillus argentoratensis. Its description in RNAcentral is "partial 16S ribosomal RNA". It matches the Rfam family "Bacterial small subunit ribosomal RNA". Lineage: Bacteria; Bacillati; Bacillota; Bacilli; Lactobacillales; Lactobacillaceae. The record is from RNAcentral.
GACGAACGCUGGCGGCGUGCCUAAUACAUGCAAGUCGAACGAACUCUGGUAUUGAUUGGUGCUUGCAUCAUGAUUUACAUUUGAGUGAGUGGCGAACUGGUGAGUAACACGUGGGAAACCUGCCCAGAAGCGGGGGAUAACACCUGGAAACAGAUGCUAAUACCGCAUAACAACUUGGACCGCAUGGUCCGAGCUUGAAAGAUGGCUUCGGCUAUCACUUUUGGAUGGUCCCGCGGCGUAUUAGCUAGAUGGUGGGGUAACGGCUCACCAUGGCAAUGAUACGUAGCCGACCUGAGAGGGUAAUCGGCCACAUUGGGACUGAGACACGGCCCAAACUCCUACGGGAGGCAGCAGUAGGGAAUCUUCCACAAUGGACGAAAGUCUGAUGGAGCAACGCCGCGUGAGUGAAGAAGGGUUUCGGCUCGUAAAACUCUGUUGUUAAAGAAGAACAUAUCUGAGAGUAACUGUUCAGGUAUUGACGGUAUUUAACCAGAAAGCCACGGCUAACUACGUGCCAGCAGCCGCGGUAAUACGUAGGUGGCAAGCGUUGUCCGGAUUUAUUGGGCGUAAAGCGAGCGCAGGCGGUUUUUUAAGUCUGAUGUGAAAGCCUUCGGCUCAACCGAAGAAGUGCAUCGGAAACUGGGAAACUUGAGUGCAGAAGAGGACAGUGGAACUCCAUGUGUAGCGGUGAAAUGCGUAGAUAUAUGGAAGAACACCAGUGGCGAAGGCGGCUGUCUGGUCUGUAACUGACGCUGAGGCUCGAAAGUAUGGGUAGCAAACAGGAUUAGAUACCCUGGUAGUCCAUACCGUAAACGAUGAAUGCUAAGUGUUGGAGGGUUUCCGCCCUUCAGUGCUGCAGCUAACGCAUUAAGCAUUCCGCCUGGGGAGUACGGCCGCAAGGCUGAAACUCAAAGGAAUUGACGGGGGCCCGCACAAGCGGUGGAGCAUGUGGUUUAAUUCGAAGCUACGCGAAGAACCUUACCAGGUCUUGACAUACUAUGCAAAUCUAAGAGAUUAGACGUUCCCUUCGGGGACAUGGAUACAGGUGGUGCAUGGUUGUCGUCAGCUCGUGUCGUGAGAUGUUGGGUUAAGUCCCGCAACGAGCGCAACCCUUAUUAUCAGUUGCCAGCAUUAAGUUGGGCACUCUGGUGAGACUGCCGGUGACAAACCGGAGGAAGGUGGGGAUGACGUCAAAUCAUCAUGCCCCCUAUGACCUGGGCUACACACGUGCUACAAUGGAUGGUACAACGAGUUGCGAACUCGCGAGAGUAAGCUAAUCUCUUAAAGCCAUUCUCAGUUCGGAUUGUAGGCUGCAACUCGCCUACAUGAAGUCGGAAUCGCUAGUAAUCGCGGAUCAGCAUGCCGCGGUGAAUACGUUCCCGGGCCUUGUACACACCGCCCGUCACACCAUGAGAGUUUGUAACACCCAAAGUCGGUGGGGUAACCUUUUAGGAACCAGCCGCCUAAGGUGGGACAGAUGAUUAGGGUGAAGUCGUAACAAGGUAGCCGUAG